RNAcentral lists this ribosomal RNA (394 nucleotides) under uncultured bacterium. Its description in RNAcentral is "bacterial SSU rRNA". It matches the Rfam family "Bacterial small subunit ribosomal RNA", at positions 29 to 416 of the family's 1533-position model. The record is from RNAcentral.
AACGAACGCUGGCGGCGCGCCUAAUACAUGCAAGUCGAGCGAGAAGACGUAGCAAUACGUUUGUAAAGCGGCGAACGGGUGGGGAAUACAUGGGUAACCUACCCUCGAGUGGGGAAUAACUAGCCGAAGGUUAGCUAAUACCGCGUACGCUCCUUGGACUUCGGUUCAGGGAGGAAAGCGAUACCGUGGGUAUCGCGCUCUUGGAUGGGCUCAUGUCCUAUCAGCUUGUUGGUGAGGAACGGCUCACCAAGGCUUCGACGGGUAGCUGGCCUGAGAGGACAAUCAGCCACACUGGCACUGCGACACGGGCCAGACUCCUACGGGAGCAGCAGGUAAGGAAUAUUGCGCAAUGGGCAAAGCCUGACGCAGCGACGCCGCGUGGGGGAUGAAGGUC